This is an RNA transcript of Vigna angularis (adzuki bean), 2124 nucleotides long. RefSeq lists it as uncharacterized. The transcript is spliced from 3 exons. Lineage: Eukaryota; Viridiplantae; Streptophyta; Magnoliopsida; Fabales; Fabaceae. The record is from RefSeq and is a predicted model, not a curated record.
UUGGGAUGCUGCUGUUUGUAAAAUAGAUUGGGCCAAUAAAAAGAGUUGAAUUAAUUUCACAAAUUAGGCCCCUGGAAUGCUGCUGCUGCCGCAAGCGCUAGUUAGACUUUGGGCAAGUGAAAUUGGGUCGUUGCUGCAGAUUGAAAGAAGAGUGGGCCGUUGGCAUGGACAUUAGGCCUGCAGUUAAUUGAAGUUGUGCUUUUUGGAGAUGCUGUCUUGGCUUAGGGUCUCUUUCCCUCAAUUUCAUUUGGAAAAGCUCGUGCAUUUUCAAUCUUGGACAGAAAGCACCCAAAAGUUAGGGCUUGCUCGAGAAAAGAAAUGAGAGAGAACGCGAAGCGAGACGAGAAAGGAAGAAGAAACCUGCGAUCCUGACCGGUAAGGAAGAAGAACUGACCGAAGCUGCCACGUGGAGAGGAUCAAACUGCCAGAAGACGCAGUUUGUGAUCAACGUGAACAGAGAUGGCAGAAGUGAGCUUCCUCUGUAGUUUCUGGGUAUCAACAUGCAAAAGCAUAAAGGAAAUGUGGGAAGUCCUAGAAGUGACUCAUGAAUGGACUGUGAGGUAAAAAGAGCUAGAAAAAAUUCUUUAAUCCAGGAAUACAAAAUGUUCACGAUGAAGGCUAGAGAGAAUAUCUAUGAUGUGCAGAAAAGGUUUACCCACAUAGCAAACCAUCUGAUUGCACUUGGCAAGGUAUUUGAGAAAGAAGAAAUCAACAUAAAGAUCUUGAAGAGUCUUAACAAAAGCAAGCAACCAAAGAUUCCUUUGAUUUUGUAGGUUAUUGGAAUGAUUUGAAAGAAGAGUUAAAGUACCGAAUGGUUAGAAUGCAGAAAAGUCAACCAGAAAUCAGAAAAGUCAAUCAGAAGAGUUAAAUUGAACACCCGCACUUACCGCUAAGCGGUAAAUACCGCUGAGCGCCAUUCUUAUGGGCCUUGGGCCACUUUUCUGUAACUUUUAGAAUAUUAUAUAAGGUCAUGGUCGACCUAGGGUUAAUAUCUUUGGCUGGGACGAAGCAGAAACAUACUCUUUCACCCCUUGGAGGAGUAUUUUGGAUGCUAAGGCUCCUUUCUCACUUUCUAGGGUUCUAUCUUUUCACUCUUUCAUUGUAUUUCAUCUAGUUUCACCAUGAAUAUGGUGAACUAAACUUUUAUUAUUGUUGGGGGAAUCAAUGUAGUCCUUUUGAAACUCUCAUGUAUGGAAUUUGUUCUACAAAAUCUUCUUUAGGAUGCAUGCUUUCUUUCGUUAAUUGUUAGGGUUUUUCCUCUUUGCUCAAAGCAUGCAUUGUUUAACUCAUUCGAUGUCAUGAUCAUUGAUUUUGUCGAUAUGGACACAUACGGGGAAAUCUAGAUCUGGGGAAUAUCUCCUAAUAGUAGUAUAAACCUAGACAUAGGAGUAUGAUGGUUGGUUGCCUUUAAGCUUCUGUUCACUAUAAUGCAUGAUUAAUUGCUGGGGAGACAAGACAUUAUAAACUAGUGAUUAUGUAUCGGGUUUAAGGUAAUUUAGAAAGUGUCAUUAACAAUUAAUGAAGAAAGAUGAAUUCCUGAAUACAUGAGAGUAGAUAAGGAUGAAACUGAUAAACCCCAACAACAUAAUCAUCCAUAUAUUUCAAUUCACGUGUUUUGUUUCUUCUUACCAUUGAUCAAUCCAUGCAUACAUAUUUACUUUUGAGUAUUUGCAUCUAAAUCUUAAUCAAUCGGUUUUACAAGUCUUAGGUAAUCAACAAACCACAAACCUAUCUAGGUCGUCAAUCCUUUGGGAGAACGAUACUUGGUCUUACCAGGUUUAUUACUUGAUACAAUUCGGUUACACUUGCCGAGGGUUUAACAAGUUUUUGACUCCGUUUUUGGGGAUUAAAGAUUUGUUCAUCAUGUUUUUGGCACCGCUGUCGUGGACUCGUGGUUUAACUAGUCUAUUUGUGUUAUUAUUGAUUAACUUUGACUUGAUUUUUAUCUUUUAAUCUUUUUAUUUAUCUUUUUAUCUUUUUGUUUACUUUUAUCUUUUAUUUUGAUAUAUUUUGUUAUCUUUUUAGUUUAUCUUUUCUAUCUUUCUAUCUUCUUGAUUUCUAUCUUUCUAUCUUUUCAUCUUUUCAUAUUUUCAUUUUUUAUCUUUUCAUCAUUUUUAUCCUUUU